GGAGAACUGAGGGGGGCUGCUCCUAGUACGAGAGGACCGGAGUGGACGCAUCACUGGUGUUCGGGUUGUCAUGCCAAUGGCACUGCCCGGUAGCUAAAUGCGGAAGAGAUAAGUGCUGAAAGCAUCUAAGCACGAAACUUGCCCCGACGAUGAGUUCUCCCUGAGACUUUAAGUCUCCUGAAGGAACGUUGAAGACGACGACGUUGAUAGGCCGGGUGUGUAAGCGCAGCGAUGCGUUGAGCUAACCGGUACUAAUGAACCGUGAGGCUUAACCUUACAACGCCGAAG
Molecule: ribosomal RNA, 288 nt
Filed under: Escherichia sp. E2661
Lineage: Bacteria; Pseudomonadati; Pseudomonadota; Gammaproteobacteria; Enterobacterales; Enterobacteriaceae
Description: partial 23S ribosomal RNA
Rfam family: Bacterial large subunit ribosomal RNA
Source: RNAcentral